CACGUAGGGUGCGAGCGUUGUCCGGAAUUAUUGGGCGUAAAGAGCUCGUAGGCGGUGUGUCGCGUCGGCCGUGAAAACCUGCAGCUUAACUGUGGGCUUGCGGUCGAUACGGGCAUCACUGGAGUUCGGCAGGGGAGACUGGAAUUCCUGGUGUAGCGGUGAAAUGCGCAGAUAUCAGGAGGAACACCGGUGGCGAAGGCGGCUUUCUGGACGACAACUGACGCUGAGACGCGAAAGCGUGGGGAGCAAACAGG
Molecule: ribosomal RNA, 254 nt
Filed under: uncultured bacterium
Lineage: Bacteria
Description: partial 16S ribosomal RNA
Rfam family: Bacterial small subunit ribosomal RNA
Source: RNAcentral